Molecule: long non-coding RNA, 240 nt
Filed under: Lathyrus oleraceus (garden pea)
Lineage: Eukaryota; Viridiplantae; Streptophyta; Magnoliopsida; Fabales; Fabaceae
Description: Pisum sativum (pea) long non-coding RNA (PSAT_LNC025524)
Source: RNAcentral
ACAAAUCCUAAGGAGCAUUGUAAGGCGAUUAUGACGAGAAGUGGAAGGGAGUUGGGUAGUGAAAAUGAAAAAAGAGUGGAGAGUGAAAAAAGAGAGAAAGAGAAGGAGAUUGAGGAGGAAAUAGUGGAUGAAAAUGUUGAUGGUGAAGUAGGAGUGUGGAGUGAUGAGGAAGUAGUUGAAAAUAAUAAAAAUAAUGGUGAAGUUGAACAAGAAAAAGGUGUGGAGAUUGAGGAAAAUAAA